Molecule: ribosomal RNA, 1360 nt
Filed under: uncultured bacterium
Lineage: Bacteria
Description: bacterial SSU rRNA
Rfam family: Bacterial small subunit ribosomal RNA
Source: RNAcentral
AUUGAACGCUGGCGGCAUGCCUUACACAUGCAAGUCGAACGGCAGCACGGACUUCGGUCUGGUGGCGAGUGGCGAACGGGUGAGUAAUGUAUCGGAACGUACCUUUCAGUGGGGGAUAACGUAGCGAAAGUUACGCUAAUACCGCAUAUUCUGUGAGCAGGAAAGCAGGGGAUCGCAAGACCUUGCGCUGAUUGAGCGGCCGAUAUCAGAUUAGCUAGUUGGUGGGGUAAAGGCCUACCAAGGCUACGAUCUGUAGCGGGUCUGAGAGGAUGAUCCGCCACACUGGAACUGAGACACGGUCCAGACUCCUACGGGAGGCAGCAGUGGGGAAUUUUGGACAAUGGGGGCAACCCUGAUCCAGCCAUGCCGCGUGAGUGAAGAAGGCCUUCGGGUUGUAAAGCUCUUUCGGCCGGGAAGAAAUCGCAUCAGCUAAUACCUGGUGUGGAUGACGGUACCGGAAUAAGAAGCACCGGCUAACUACGUGCCAGCAGCCGCGGUAAUACGUAGGGUGCGAGCGUUAAUCGGAAUUACUGGGCGUAAAGCGUGCGCAGGCGGUUGUGUAAGACGGGCGUGAAAUCCCCGGGCUCAACCUGGGAACUGCGCUUGUGACUGCACAGCUAGAGUACGGCAGAGGGGGGGUGGAAUUCCACGUGUAGCAGUGAAAUGCGUAGAGAUGUGGAGGAACACCGAUGGCGAAGGCAGCCCCCUGGGCCGAUACUGACGCUCAUGCACGAAAGCGUGGGUAGCAAACAGGAUUAGAUACCCUGGUAGUCCACGCCCUAAACGAUGUCAACUAGGUGUUGGGUGGGUAAAACCAUUUAGUACCGUAGCUAACGCGUGAAGUUGACCGCCUGGGGAGUACGGCCGCAAGGUUAAAACUCAAAGGAAUUGACGGGGACCCGCACAAGCGGUGGAUGAUGUGGAUUAAUUCGAUGCAACGCGAAAAACCUUACCUACCCUUGACAUGUCCAGAAGCCCGGAGAGAUUUGGGUGUGCCCGAAAGGGAACUGGAACACAGGUGCUGCAUGGCUGUCGUCAGCUCGUGUCGUGAGAUGUUGGGUUAAGUCCCGCAACGAGCGCAACCCUUGUCGUUAAUUGCCAUCAUUUAGUUGGGCACUUUAACGAGACUGCCGGUGACAAACCGGAGGAAGGUGGGGAUGACGUCAAGUCCUCAUGGCCCUUAUGGGUAGGGCUUCACACGUCAUACAAUGGUCGGUACAGAGGGUUGCCAAGCCGCGAGGUGGAGCCAAUCCCAGAAAGCCGAUCGUAGUCCGGAUUGCAGGCUGCAACUCGCCUGCAUGAAGUCGGAAUCGCUAGUAAUCGCGGAUCAGCAUGUCGCGGUGAAUACGUUCCCGGGUCU